Molecule: long non-coding RNA, 314 nt
Filed under: Anser brachyrhynchus (Pink-footed goose)
Lineage: Eukaryota; Metazoa; Chordata; Aves; Anseriformes; Anatidae
Description: lncRNA (ENSABRG00000018563.1)
Source: RNAcentral
UAAAACUUUAUCGCAAAGUUAGGAACACCGGAGGAGUAUUAAUAAAGUAAUAACGUGAAGGUCAGAAUAUACCUAGUGAGGAGGAGGUUGCUGGCUGCUUUUAAUCUGACUCGUGAAUUUGGAGUUUAGAUUGUAGCUGAUGGUGUUACGUCCCAGGAGAGCACAUAACCUUUUUUCAGUAUUUCUCCCGACCGUGGCCUUUUCUGAGUUUUAUGUAUUUACCUCUUCUAUGUGUGUGGAAAAAUAUGUAAAAGGCUGUUGAAGAAUUCAAGUCUUUUCUUAAUGAGAGAAUAAAAUGGGGAAGUUGUAGAACA